RNAcentral lists this long non-coding RNA (419 nucleotides) under Nilaparvata lugens (brown planthopper). Its description in RNAcentral is "uncharacterized LOC120354842". Lineage: Eukaryota; Metazoa; Arthropoda; Insecta; Hemiptera; Delphacidae. The record is from RNAcentral.
GCCCAAUGAAUUUUGCAAAGGACCAAAGGUUUUUCGAAUGAGUUUCGUAGUCUGUAAUUUUUGUGAUUUUAUCCAGGAAAUAUAGGAGCUGUGGUGAUGAAAUUUUCCAACACAAAAGAAAAAGACAUAGAAGCAGUAGGGUAAUCAAAUACUGGCUGAAGUCUCCAAAAACUCGGUUCACCAGCAAAGAGAAAUCUACAAAUGUUCAAACACUGGAUCCUGGAGGAAAAUCUGAAUGCUACAAGAAUUGAGAUUGAAUUGAGGUGCAGUAACAUAGACCAGUAGGCCUAUGUAGCUCAAAAAAUUGCUACUUUAAACAGGAAGAGAUCAAAGUAUUCUGGAGCACCACAAUAAGGACCUUUCUUAAAAGAUAAAUGACAUGCAUAUGAGUUAUUUUAAUAAACAAACUUCUCACAUUA